Molecule: ribosomal RNA, 218 nt
Filed under: uncultured bacterium
Lineage: Bacteria
Description: partial 16S ribosomal RNA
Rfam family: Bacterial small subunit ribosomal RNA
Source: RNAcentral
UAACCUGCCCAAGAGAUCGGGAUAACACCUGGAAACAGAUGCUAAUACCGGAUAACAACAGAUGAUGCCUAUCAACUGUUUAAAAGAUGGUUCUGCUAUCACUCUUGGAUGGACCUGCGGUGCAUUAGCUAGUUGGUAGGGUAACGGCCUACCAAGGCGAUGAUGCAUAGCCGAGUUGAGAGACUGAUCGGCCACAUUGGGACUGGGACACGGCCCAA